Long non-coding RNA from Oncorhynchus tshawytscha (Chinook salmon), 412 nucleotides. NCBI's taxonomy places the organism in Eukaryota, Metazoa, Chordata, Actinopteri, Salmoniformes, Salmonidae. The record is from Ensembl.
GCCGAAUUGAUUAGUAAUGCAGUAGUACACAUGUCAGACUGAUUAGUAAUGCAGUAGUACACAGGUUGGACUGAUUAGUAAUGUAGUAGUACACAGGUCGGACUGAUUAGUAAUGUAGUAGUACACAGGUCAGACUGAUUAGUAAUGUAGUAGUACAUAGGUCAGACUGAUUAGUAAUGUAGUAGUACACAGGUCAGACUGAUUAGUAAUGUAGUAGUACACAGGUCAGACUGAUUAGUAAUGUAGUAAUACACAGGUCAGACUGAUUAGUAAUGUAGUAGUACACAGGUCAGUGUGAUUAGUAAUGUAGUAGUACACAGGUCAGGCUGAUUAGUAAUGUAGUAGUACACAGGUCAGACUGAUUAGUAAUGUAGUAGUACACAGGUCAGUGUGAUUAGUAAUGUAGUAGUAC